AACGCAUAUUGCGCCCUCUAGUAUUCUAGGAGGCAUGCCUGUUCGAGCGUCAUUUCAACCCUCAGGCACAGCCUGGUGUUGGGGCUCUGCGCCUGCAGUUCCCGAAAUACAGUGGCGGCCCUUCUAAAAGCCCUGCGUAGUACUACUUCUCGCUUGGUAUUUUAGGCGGUCCAGCCUUCCUUACUCUUUUAUAAAGUUGACCUCGGAUCAGGUAGGAAUACCCGCUGAACUUAA
RNAcentral lists this unclassified non-coding RNA (234 nucleotides) under uncultured fungus. RNAcentral's name for it is "partial contains 5.8S ribosomal RNA, internal transcribed spacer 2, and large subunit ribosomal RNA". Lineage: Eukaryota; Fungi. The record is from RNAcentral.